This 469-nucleotide ribosomal RNA is filed under the name uncultured bacterium. RNAcentral's name for it is "bacterial SSU rRNA". It matches the Rfam family "Bacterial small subunit ribosomal RNA", at positions 329 to 794 of the family's 1533-position model. The record is from RNAcentral.
UUCCAGACUCCUACGGGAGGCAGCAGUGAGGAAUAUUGGUCAAUGGGCGGGAGCCUGAACCAGCCAAGUCGCGUGAGGGAAGACGGUCCUAUGGAUUGUAAACCUCUUUAGGCGGGGAGCAAUGCCGGGCACGCGUGCCCGGAGGGAGAGUACCCGCAGAAUAAGCAUCGGCUAACUCCGUGCCAGCAGCCGCGGUAAUACGUAGGUGGCAAGCGUUAUCCGGAUUUAUUGGGUGUAAAGGGCGCGUAGGCGGGAAUGCAAGUCAGAUGUGGAAACUAUGGGCUCGACCCAUAGCCUGCAUUUGAAACUGUAUUUCUUGAGUGCUGGAGAGGCAAUCGGAAUUCCGUGUGUAGCGGUGAAAUGCGUAGAUAUACGGAGGAACACCAGUGGCGAAGGCGGAUUGCUGGACAGUAACUGACGCUGAGGCGCGAAAGCGUGGGGAGCAAACAGGAUUAGAUACCCCAGUAGC